UGUCUGAUAUCAGGUUAAACUUGGAAUAAUUAUGAUUUUUUGUUCAAAUCUAUUAAUCUACUAUCUAGUUAUUAAGUAGUGGCCUGUUAUCAGUGU
RNAcentral lists this microRNA precursor (96 nucleotides) under Schistosoma mansoni. RNAcentral's name for it is "microRNA sma-mir-8449 precursor". The record is from miRBase by way of RNAcentral. Lineage: Eukaryota; Metazoa; Platyhelminthes; Trematoda; Strigeidida; Schistosomatidae.